This 374-nucleotide unclassified non-coding RNA is filed under the name uncultured Bacteroidota bacterium. RNAcentral describes it as "uncultured Bacteroidetes bacterium contains 16S-23S intergenic spacer region". Lineage: Bacteria; Pseudomonadati; Bacteroidota. The record is from RNAcentral.
UCACUGCUUGCGCAGGCAGUCUCGCUAGAGUCCCCGGCAUUACCCGCUGGUAACUAGCGAUAGGGGUUGCGUUCGUUGCGGGACUUAACCCAACAUCUCACGACACGAACUGACGACAGCCAUGCAGCACCUCACUAGGUGCCCGAAGGAGGGCCCCUUUCAGGGCCUGUCACCUAGCGUUCGAGCCUGGGUAAGGUUCUUCGCGUUGCAUCGAAUUAAUCCACAUGCUCCACCGCUUGUGCGGGCCCCCGUCAAUUCCUUUGAGUUUCACCCUUGCGAGCGUACUCCCCAGGUGGAGUGCUUAACGCGUUAGCUUAGACACUGCCCCUAAAGCGGGCCAGCAUCGAGCACUCAUCGUUUACGGCGUGGACUAC